GACGAACGCUGGCGGCGUGCUUAACACAUGCAAGUCGAACGGAAAGGCCCUGCUUUUGUGGGGUGCUCGAGUGGCGAACGGGUGAGUAACACGUGAGUAACCUGCCCUUGACUUUGGGGUAACUUCAGGAAACUGGGGCUAAUACCGGAUAGGAGCUCCUGCUGCAUGGUGGGGGUUGGAAAGUUUCGGCGGUUGGGGAUGGACUCGCGGCUUAUCAGCUUGUUGGUGGGGUAGUGGCUUACCAAGGCUUUGACGGGUAGCCGGCCUGAGAGGGUGACCGGCCACAAUGGGACUGAGAUACGGCCCAGACUCGUACGGGAGGCAGCAGUGGGGAAUAUUGCACAGUGGGCGGAAGCCUGAUGCAGCAACGCCGCGUGCGGGAUGACGGCCUUCGGGUUGUAAACCGCUUUCGCCUGUGACGAAGCGUGAGUGACGGUAAUGGGUAAAGAAGCACCGGCUAACUACGUG
This 468-nucleotide ribosomal RNA is filed under the name uncultured bacterium. RNAcentral's name for it is "partial 16S ribosomal RNA". It matches the Rfam family "Bacterial small subunit ribosomal RNA", at positions 28 to 507 of the family's 1533-position model. The record is from RNAcentral.